CAAGCUUGGAAGCAUGUGUUCAAUUAUUUAAACAUUGUUUCACUCUCUCUGUUGAGAAAACAGUCUCCACAAUGAUGGGGACAGUCACUCUAUUCCUGUUGCCAUGGAGAUCUUUGUGCCUUGUAUUGUGCCUGACAUUCCAAGCAUCUAGGUUCAGUGAAUGAAGAGCUAAAAUACAUGGAUGAAUGCUUUCAUUUCGCCUGAUUUCUGAGCACCUUCUGGCUGAUAAUGGCAAUAAUACCUUAGGAAAAAGGGUUCAGGUGAAUCAGACACAACAAAUAUGGAAAUGUGAAGCAAAAGGGAAUAAAUACAACUGUCAUCCCGGAAGGACAAUAAAAAUGGAGAAUGCUUGGAAAUCCGAGGUAACUGGGGAUGUGCUGGGUAAAGGAGAGACUAUAAACUCAUGACUUCUGGGACCUGAC
This 422-nucleotide long non-coding RNA is filed under the name Rattus norvegicus (Norway rat). RNAcentral describes it as "long non-coding RNA NONRATT032052". Lineage: Eukaryota; Metazoa; Chordata; Mammalia; Rodentia; Muridae. The record is from RNAcentral.